This 1431-nucleotide ribosomal RNA is filed under the name metagenome. RNAcentral's name for it is "bacterial SSU rRNA". It matches the Rfam family "Bacterial small subunit ribosomal RNA". The record is from RNAcentral.
AGAGUUUGAUCCUAGCUCAGGGUGAAUGCUAGCGGUGCGCCUAACACAUGCAAGUCGAGCGGGAAGUUUAUAGCUUGCUAUAAACGGAGAGCGGCGAACGGGUGAGUAAAAUGUUGGAACCUGCCUAUUAGUCGGGGAUAGCCAGAAGAAAUUCUGAUUAAUACCAGAUAGACUCUACGGAGUAAAGAUUUAUCGCUAAUAGAGGGGCCUGCAACCUAUCAGCUAGUUGGUAAGGUAAGAGCUUACCAAGGCAAAGACGGGUAGCUGAUCUGAGAGGAUGAUCAGCCACAAUGGGACUGAGACACGGCCCAUACUCCUACGGGAGGCAGCAGUGAGGAAUCUUCCACAAUGGGCGAAAGCCUGAUGGAGCGACACCGCGUGAAGGAAGAAGGCCUAACGGUUGUAAACUUCUUUUCUGAAGGAGCAAAAUGAGAGUACUUCAGGAAUAAGGGACGGCUAAUUACGUGCCAGCAGCCGCGGUAAUACGUAAGUCCCGAGCAUUACCCGGAAUAAUUGGGUGUAAAGGGUUCGUAGGCGGAUAAGUAAGUUGAAUAUGAAAGACCGGAGCUCAACUCCGAGUUAGUGUCCAAAACUACUUAACUAGAAUCAGGGAGAGGUAAGCGGAAUUCUGAGUGUAGGGGUGCAAUCCGUAGAUACUCAGAAGAACACCAAAAGCGAAGGCAGCUUACUGGAACUGAAUUGACGCUAAGGAACGAAAGCGUGGGUAGCGAAAAGGAUUAGAUACCCUUGUAGUCCACGCCCUAAACGAUGAUAACUAAGUGUUGGACCUAGAGUUCAGUGCUGAAGCAAACGCAUUAAGUUAUCCACCUGAGGAGUACGGUCGCAAGAUUAAAACUCAAAGGAAUAGACGGGGACCCACACAAGCAGUGGAUCACGUGGUUUAAUUCGAUAAUAAACGGGGAACCUUACCCAGACUUGACAUCUAGCGAAUUUUCUAGAGAUAGAAAAGUGCCUUUAUUGGAACGCCAAGACAGGUGCUGCAUGGUUGUCGUCAGUUCGUGCCUUGAGGUGUUCGGUUAAGUCCGUUAACGAGCGCAACCCAUGUUCUUAGUUACAAUGUCUAAGAAGACUGCCUUGGUUAACAAGGAGGAAGGUGUGGAUGACGUCAAAUCAGCAUGGCUUUUACGUCUGGGGCUACACACAUGAUACAAUGGUGUAUACAAAGGGGUGCAAAACAGCGAUGUUGAGCAAAUCCUAAAAGUACAUCUAAGUCCGGAUUGAAGUCUGAAACUCGACUUCAUGAAGUUGGAAUUGCUAGUAAUCGUGAAUCAGAUAUGUCACGGUGAAUAUGUUCCUGGGUCUUGUACUCACCGCCCGUCACGGCAUGGAAGGUAGUAAUAUUGGAAGCUCCCUUGUUGAUAAAGGGGUCCAUAGUAGGACUACUGACUGGGCUGAAGUCGUAACAAGGUA